RNAcentral lists this long non-coding RNA (214 nucleotides) under Elaeis guineensis (African oil palm). RNAcentral describes it as "long non-coding RNA (EGUI_LNC027428)". Lineage: Eukaryota; Viridiplantae; Streptophyta; Magnoliopsida; Arecales; Arecaceae. The record is from RNAcentral.
UUGGUUUCUUCCUCUCUUUUUCUAAGUUUUUCUCUCAAUGCCUAAACUCAUCCGUGCACCAAGAUAAAAAAAACCACCACCUCUCCACACACCAUCUACCAUCCGAGAUGCCGAUCCGAAGUAACGCUUAAAGGUGCUUUAAUUCUGGAUUCGCGAAGUUCUACCAUGGAUUAGAAUCGCAACCAUCUGCAGCGACCUAACUUCUCUAAGGUCG